UACGGGGGGGGCAAGCGUUGUUCGGAAUUACUGGGCGUAAAGGGCGCGUAGGCGGCCUUGCAAGUGGAAGGUGAAAUCCCUCGGCUUAACCGAGGAACUGCCUUCCAGACUGCUAGGCUUGAGACCGGGAGAGGUGAGUGGAAUUCCCAGUGUAGCGGUGAAAUGCGUAGAUAUUGGGAGGAACACCAGUGGCGAAGGCGGCUCACUGGACCGGUACUGACGCUGAUGCGCGAAAGCGUGGGGAGCAAACGGG
Molecule: ribosomal RNA, 253 nt
Filed under: uncultured bacterium
Lineage: Bacteria
Description: partial 16S ribosomal RNA
Rfam family: Bacterial small subunit ribosomal RNA
Source: RNAcentral